Molecule: ribosomal RNA, 529 nt
Filed under: uncultured Acinetobacter sp.
Lineage: Bacteria; Pseudomonadati; Pseudomonadota; Gammaproteobacteria; Moraxellales; Moraxellaceae
Description: bacterial SSU rRNA
Rfam family: Bacterial small subunit ribosomal RNA
Source: RNAcentral
UGCCGCGUGUGUGAAGAAGGCCUUAUGGUUGUAAAGCACUUUAAGCGAGGAGGAGGCUACUGCCGCUAAUAGCUUCAGAUAGUGGACGUUACUCGCAGAAUAAGCACCGGCUAACUCUGUGCCAGCAGCCGCGGUAAUACAGAGGGUGCAAGCGUUAAUCGGAUUUACUGGGCGUAAAGCGCGCGUAGGCGGCUAAUUAAGUCAAAUGUGAAAUCCCCGAGCUUAACUUGGGAAUUGCAUUCGAUACUGGUUAGCUAGAGUGUGGGAGAGGAUGGUAGAAUUCCAGGUGUAGCGGUGAAAUGCGUAGAGAUCUGGAGGAAUACCGAUGGCGAAGGCAGCCAUCUGGCCUAACACUGACGCUGAGGUGCGAAAGCAUGGGGAGCAAACAGGAUUAGAUACCCUGGUAGUCCAUGCCGUAAACGAUGUCUACUAGCCGUUGGGGCCUUUGAGGCUUUAGUGGCGCAGCUAACGCGAUAAGUAGACCGCCUGGGGAGUACGGUCGCAAGACUAAAACUCAAAGGAAUUGACG